CCUACGGGAGGCAGCAGUGGGGAAUAUUGCACAAUGGGCGCAAGCCUGAUGCAGCCAUGCCGCGUGUAUGAAGAAGGCCUUCGGGUUGUAAAGUACUUUCAGUCGUGAGGAAGGUGUUAAGGUUAAUAACCUUAGCAAUUGACGUUAGCGACAGAAGAAGCACCGGCUAACUCCGUGCCAGCAGCCGCGGUAAUACGGAGGGUGCGAGCGUUAAUCGGAAUUACUGGGCGUAAAGGGCACGCAGGCGGUUAAUUAAGUUGGAUGUGAAAUCCCCGGGCUUAACCUGGGAAUGGCAUUCAAGACUGGUUAGCUAGAGUCUUGUAGAGGGGGGUAGAAUUCCAUGUGUAGCGGUGAAAUGCGUAGAGAUGUGGAGGAAUACCGGUGGCGAAGGCGGCCCCCUGGACAAAGACUGACGCUCAUGUGCGAAAGCGUGGGGAGCAAACAGGAUUAGAUACCCCAGUAGUC
This 465-nucleotide ribosomal RNA is filed under the name uncultured Arsenophonus sp. Its description in RNAcentral is "bacterial SSU rRNA". It matches the Rfam family "Bacterial small subunit ribosomal RNA", at positions 338 to 795 of the family's 1533-position model. Lineage: Bacteria; Pseudomonadati; Pseudomonadota; Gammaproteobacteria; Enterobacterales; Morganellaceae. The record is from RNAcentral.